This 4465-nucleotide unclassified non-coding RNA is filed under the name Daphnia pulicaria. RNAcentral describes it as "c2 domain-containing protein 5-like, transcript variant X3". The record is from RNAcentral. Lineage: Eukaryota; Metazoa; Arthropoda; Branchiopoda; Diplostraca; Daphniidae.
UACGCUUCUUCGUUUUAUCAAUGUUUUCAUAGCAAAAGCAGACGAUAAUUUUCAGUUUUUUUAGGGUCUGAGCAAAGGAUUUGUUGGUUGAUAACUUGAUGACUUUAUAUUGAACAUUUAAUAAAGUGUUAGCUAUUAUAUAGAACGAGAGACUUAUGGCUCCACAUUGACAUUUUUUAAGUUACAAUGUCUAUUUAGUCCAGAUUUAUUCUACUUAUUGUAAAAAGCUAUUGGUGAAUUUUGUAGCUCAACGUGAAUCCAAUAGCAAAUCAAUAAAUCAUGCCGGGAAAAGUUAAAGUGAAAAUUCUUGCUGGAAGGAACCUUCCUGUAAUGGAUCGUUCAAGUGACACUACGGACGCUUAUGUUGAGAUAAAAUUAGGUAGCAUAACCCAAAAGACCGAUGUUUUUCGAAAAUCUCUAAAUCCUCAAUGGAAUUCAGAAUGGUUUAUCUUUGAGGUUGACGAUGCAGAACUUCAAGACGAACCACUUCAAAUAAGAUUAAUGGAUUAUGAUACAUACUCUGCAAAUGAUGCCAUAGGAAAAGUAUACUUAGAUUUAAAUCCACUUCUGGUCACACCUGGCAUUUCAGGUAUCAGAGGUAUCAGAUCGGAAGCUUGCUCUGUCCCGAGUUCAGGAGGGCAUGUAUUAUCAGGUUGGCUUCCAGUGUAUGAUACAAUGCAUGGAAUGAGAGGUGAAGUGUCAGUCAUAGUCAAGGUUGAAUUAUUUUCUGAUGUUAACAAGUUUCGGCAAAGUUCAUGUGGUGUUCAAUUUUUCAGUACUCCGUCAACACCCCACGGUUUUAAAAUUCAGUCUAUUCAAGGGUUUGUUAAAGAACUUGUUGUUAAUGAUGACCCAGAAUAUCAAUGGAUAGACAAAAUUCGGACACCAAGAGCGUCAAAUGAAGCCAGACAAACAUUGUUCUCUCAACUCUCGGGGGAAGUACGUCGUAAAAUCGGAUUAAAAGUAUUAGAGCUUGGCGGAAAUGCUGUAGUUGGAUAUCAGCAAAUGUUUGAUCUUGAAGGAGUAACUGGGCUAGUGGUACGCGGGAUAGGGACAGCCGUAACACUAGCUAGGUGCCAUUUCGAUGGAAACGCAGCAGUUACCUGGUUCAAAGAACAGCACCAUGGAAGUAGUGGUCGAGAAAAUGAUAGCACUCGGCCUCGUUUGCAUCAGAGCGAACCCCUUCUCCAGUUAGACGAUCACGAAUGCUUACCUACGAAAACUCCUGUGCCACGCUUUUAUAGGCUACAGUCAUUACCAAUGCAUGAAGACACCAACCAAUUGCCAAUCAAACUUCAGGCUUCCAUUUCCGUAGCUAAAGUGCUCGAAGGCUGUGUUGGCAUUGUGAAGGCCCCCGCGAAACGAAAGCUCUCUCUCAGCAAUUUGUUUGCCAAAUCUGUGAUUAAAGGGAAAGUUGGUAGACCGCGCGAAACCUUGUCGCCAAAUACUUUGUCAGUUCCUUGUGAUGACGAUUGCACCAAAGGUAGUCCUCAAUCCCGAAUUCGCUCACGCUCGCUUAUUUGCGAGAUGUCACCUAUCCUUGAAAAUCACGGAGACUCCGUUUCUGAUUCACAAGAGAACAGUCCUAUUAGCAAAACCCUUUUACCAGUCAUUAACCAUUCACCAGAUACCAACGAAUUCAAAUUCAAGAAAGACUUGCGAGGGUGGACUGACAACGACUUAGCCUUGUCAGGAUCGCAGGAAUCGUGCUCCUUUUUUCGUGUUAAUGCUCCUGAAGACAGCUGCUCAAGCAGCUCUGAAAUCUCUCUGAAUUAUUUCCCUUUAAAACAGGAGCAGCAAAACGAACGCUCGAUUGAAACACCGUUGUCAUUACUACGAUUAGUCGAUAGCAAAGACGAUCUGUCUUCUAACGUAGUGUUGAAUGCAACCACUCACCCACCUUUGCCUGAAAUGCAACCUAUUUGUCCCUACCCAACUAGAUCUCCUCGUUGUGCAGCCAUUUCGCCAGUCGAUGUCGUUAAACCGUUACUUAGUACUGCUGCCAUCACCACUCCAGUGGUCGUACAUGGAAUAACUCCUUCACGACCUUCUCCCUGUCGACGCUCUUCAGAAUCUGAAAUCAACACAACUCCAAAAGCUUCCAGUUUAUCCGAUAGCUUCGGUUCAUCAGGGGGAGGCGUAAUUGCAUCCAACUGUCGUCCGACGACUCACCGUCAGACAUCAGUUCCUGCUCCACCUACUAACGCAUAUCUCAAUACUGAUGUUACUAGGAACCUUGAAGUCCUCGAAUAUCCUUUCUUGACAAUGAAAACCUACCCCCCUGGAUUCAUCGUACAUAUUGGAGGAACAGUGAGUGCCAGGUCUGUCAAGUUGUUGGAUCGGAUAAACAAUUCCGAAGGAGAACCGGAAACCCGAGAUAAUUGGUGGACUGAAAUAAGAAUGGAAGUUCGUUCACAUGCACGUGCGCUCGGUUGUUCCGUGAUUCUCGGCUACGAAGAGCAUACUAGUAUAAGUGAUGAGGUUUGUGUAUUGAGCGCAUCCGGCACAGCAGCCGUUGUUAAGCUACAGCAUACAGAAGUGGAGGUUAAAGAUAUAAACUAUCACGGAAAAGGCAAUCCACUUAACGCUGAGGAAAGUAAAGUUACUUUGCCUUGUCGUGUCUGCCACAUCCCUUAUAGCAAGGCCAGCAUUCCUUUUCCCAUCAAGCUUUCUCGCUGCGCUCUAUGCAGGAAGGGCAAAGUUCCUGACGUGUUAAUAGCUACUAUCGAACCUCCGACAGGAAUGAACGUGACGGGACGGGGGUGUCUCAUACAGGCCCGUCUAUGUCGUCCAAAACGUGCCGAAUCUCGUGGCGAUCAGCAAGCGAAGGAAGUUUCGGACGGGUUGCCUUUCCUAGAAUACGAAUUGCAUCGGCAGUUAAUUAAUAAAUUGAGAACCAAAGGAAUGAAUUCAAUAUUCCAUCUUAAGGUGCAAGUGAGUAUCGGAGAAAGGUAUGUAGUUGGCGUUGCUACUGGCACGGCGCUUUUUUUAAGCGCUCUUCCGACUCCAUCUCUGCCUACGCCAAGCAAUCCUAGCAUAUCUUCGAAACAAUCAAAAAGAGGGCGAAUUAAUAAGUUAUUGAUUGAAGCCCACGCUACCAGUCAAGAGCGCUAUGGCCUUAAUAAACAGCUGAAUAAGGUUAAUGACAUGGAAGAAACAAAGUGGACCGAUUCUGAUGAUACAGAUGAGGAUGCCAACGAUCUCGACCUUACAGCUGGAAAUAAGGACUCUUGCGUCAUCGAAAUUGACGACGUAGAAGAUAUUGACGUGAUUGAAUUACUGAUCGAUCCCGAAACACCGGAAGGCUUCGACGUGGUGACUACUGAGACUGUACCUGGAUUACCGAUUGAUAAUAUUCGUCGACACCCUAAUCUCCAAGCUUUCAAUCGUGUGUGGAAGGGCAAAAUUCCAUCGGUGCAGGCCGCACGGCAUUUGAAUCGCUGCUUUGAAAUGAUCUUACGGAGUAUUUACUUCAAGUUGCGCAAGUCGCGUCCGUGCGUAAUCACGAACCUUCAGUUCAGCGUUGAUUUACCCGAAGAUGACGAAAUUCAAAUUUCUGUAUUAGGUACAGCCAUCACGUCCUUCACUAAAAUUGCGCCAGAGUCUGCCCCUUGUAUAGGAGUCUCUCUCAGAGGCGUUGGUUCUACCGAAAGCGAAAUGAUUUUUCAUCUCGAGGAUGACGUAGUUCAACUGCCAGCGUCGAACGAGCCGGCAGCUUCAAUGACGAAGGUAAAUCAACAGAUCCGUCAUAUUCCUCCUCCGCCUCCUUCCAAUCAAGGCCUGUUGAGAACGGCUGGCGACAAAGCCAAGUUUUAUGUACAGAAGGAAAGACAGCCGGUAGACAUUGUGACUCUAAUCCACUUACCCGGUUCACGAGUCGAACGUUACUUAGGCCAUCUUAACUUCUUCUUCAUCCGAGAAAGCACUAGCAUUCGUGAGGAUGGUGGCUUGAGCGGCUUUAUGCAGUCGUUUAUCACGGAGGUACUGGGCAUCGUACGAGCUCAUGUCUCUGCGUUAGGUGGAAACGCCAUGGUUUCAUACUUUAUGACGCAAUGUGUGCUUCUUCACAACCCUCACAAAAAUCAGGGACAAUGCCUCAUCAAUGUCGGCGGGGAUGUUGUACAGGCCGUCCGCUGCUCUACCGAUAAGGACGUUUCAAAUCACGCCUAAACUCCCUAAUUUCGACUCAUUGUGUCCUGUAGCAGUUUAUUUUAAAUUCUUCCUUGAUCACUUCCAUCAAGAGAAAGUUCUAAUAAUGGAGACCGAUCCUGUCAUAUUUUCCCAAAAUGUCAAUGUUUAAUUGAUUGCAUCUGUGUACAGCUGCUGAUGGUGAUGUAGAUGUGAAGCAUGAAAGGCAAGUGAUUAAUAUCGUCAUUUAUUUUCUGAAGCAUCAACAUUAAUUUUCGGCCGACAGUAAUUCUCGACCGGUUGUGUUACAAAUUGAAUAAAUAUAUCGACCAAUAGA